UACGUAUGGUGCAAGCGUUAUCCGGAUUUACUGGGUGUAAAGGGAGCGCAGGCGGCACGGCAAGCCUGAUGUGAAAGCCCGCGGCCCAACCGCGGGACUGCAUUGGGAACUACCGGGCUGGAGCGCCGGAGAGGUAGGCGGAAUUCCUAGUGUAGCGGUGAAAUGCGUAGAUAUUAGGAGGAACACCAGUGGCGAAGGCGGCCUACUGGACGGUGACUGACGCUGAGGCUCGAAAGCGUGGGGAGCAAACAGG
RNAcentral lists this ribosomal RNA (253 nucleotides) under uncultured bacterium. Its description in RNAcentral is "partial 16S ribosomal RNA". It matches the Rfam family "Bacterial small subunit ribosomal RNA", at positions 524 to 776 of the family's 1533-position model. The record is from RNAcentral.